AAGAGACAGCAGCAGCCGCGGUAAAACGGAGGGUGCAAGCGUUAAUCGGAAUUACUGGGCGUAAAGCGCACGCAGGCGGUUUGUUAAGUCAGAUGUGAAAUCCCCGAGCUUAACUUGGGAACUGCAUUUGAAACUGGCAAGCUAGAGUCUUGUAGAGGGGGGUAGAAUUCCAGGUGUAGCGGUGAAAUGCGUAGAGAUCUGGAGGAAUACCGGUGGCGAAGGCGGCCCCCUGGACAAAGACUGACGCUCAGGUGCGAAAGCGUGGGGAGCAAACAGGAUUAGAUACCCCAGUAGUCCCUGUCUCUUAUAC
Molecule: ribosomal RNA, 310 nt
Filed under: uncultured bacterium
Lineage: Bacteria
Description: partial 16S ribosomal RNA
Rfam family: Bacterial small subunit ribosomal RNA
Source: RNAcentral